ACUAUUUCAUGCAAGGAGAUCGUUGAACACGAGUUUCAGUACGAUCAAAUGUCUUAACUGUGACCCCAAGAAACCUACUCCGGGGGUAAAAGCCUCGCGAACAAAAACUGCGCUGAGGAAAACAAAGCGGAGAUGGCCAAGGCCGCGCGCGGAUCUCGGUGCACACAAAGAAGCCAGAGCCAUGCUGGCGCGCUGCGGCGGCGCAUGCGCGGCUCAGCGGGUGAGAGUAACAGGGCUGGAACCCAGGGGCCUUUUUCAUGACAAGGAGAAGGGGGAUUCUGAGGAUAUCUGGGGUCUCAACAUCCCCUACUAUCCCCACUCUGUGAACCCAGGGGCUCAGGAAAUCAAGGACAGCAGAGACUGCCGAACCUCACACUGGAGAAGCCAGCUGCUGGGCGCCUUCUGCUCACUCGAAGACAGAGCUGGUCUCAGCAGGCCACAAGCAUCAUCCCUUGUUGGUGGCUCCUCCUUAAGCAAUGGAUCUUUCUCCUCCUCACUUUUCUUCUCCAUUAAAUGGGGCGAACAAGGGUGUUAAAAGACAUAAUUGCCAUUUAUAGGGAGCCGUGGCGUCUUGGAUGAAAGUCUCUGGAGCUGGGGAAAGCUUGUCCAAAAUGAGUUCAUUCUUUGAUCAACAGAGACCAAGGGAGAAAAACACUCCCUGCAUCAUCUAGAAUUAUCUGGCCUGGUUUGGUGUUCUAGUUUGCUGUUGUUUCUGUGAUAAAAUGCUGACCAAAGCCAACUUGGAGAAGAAAAGGUUUAUUUUGUUGUACAACUUCCAGGUCACAGUGGACCACUGAGGGCAGGAACUGAGGCAGCGGCUACUGGGGGACACUCCUUACGUCCUGCUCUCCACAGCUCACCCAGUCUGUUUUCUUGUGCCACCCAAGACCAGCUGCUGCCCAGGAGUGACCCACCCACCAUGGGCUGGACUGUUCCUUAUCAGCCAUUAAUCAAAACAACAACAACAAAAAGUUCUACGUUUUCUCCCCUGCGUGCCAAUCAGAUGGAGGUAGUUUCUCAAUCAAGGUUCCUUCCUCCUGGGUGAAGCUAGUUUAUAUGGAGUUGACAAAAAGCUAGACAGCACAUGUGGGUAGCAAGGUUUUAUCUAACCGAUGGCCUAUGGGGACUUUUUUGCUCUCUUUUGAACAGUGUUCACAACCCUUGACUUGUACGCCAGGCUUAGGUUACGAAGGGAUGUUGGAUCAGCAGGACUGUAAGCAUUCACGCUUCUGCUCCCACGCACACAGUAAAUGCUCAGUAAAUAUUUGCUAGAAAAACCAGUUAGUUACUUUAUUUGCUCAAAUUUAUGAAACAGGUUUAAGAACCAGAUUGCCCUAACAGUUUCAGACCCCAAGAUGAUGAAGAAUAUAAUGGAAUAGAUGACAUUAUUGCCUUGAAUUAUUAAUAAUGUUCAUGCACCAUUAAGAAUAAAGAGGCUGGGCUCAUGAGAUGGCUAAGAAGGUAAAGGAGAGUGUGCUGUGUAAGGCUGGUAACCUGAGUUCAAUCUUCAGGACCCCCAUGUUGGAAGGAGAGAACCAACUCCCACAAGUUGUCCUUUGACCUCUGUAUAUGCACUGUGGCAUGUGCACCUGUGACCUCUGUAUGUGCACUGUGGCAUGUGCAUCAACACAUAUCAACAUGCAUUUGGAAUAAAUUAAUACAGAAAAAAUAAAUAAAUAAAUAAGCCACAAAAAUAUCGCU
This 1701-nucleotide long non-coding RNA is filed under the name Mus pahari (shrew mouse). Its description in RNAcentral is "lncRNA (MGP_PahariEiJ_G0005019.1)". The record is from RNAcentral. Lineage: Eukaryota; Metazoa; Chordata; Mammalia; Rodentia; Muridae.